CCUACGGGGGGCAGCAGUGAGGAAUAUUGGUCAAUGGUCGGGAGACUGAACCAGCCAAGCCGCGUGAGGGAUGAAGGUACAGAGUAUCGUAAACCUCUUUUGUCAGGGAACAAAGGCGGGGACGUGUCCCCGGAUGAGUGUACCUGAAGAAAAAGCAUCGGCUAACUCCGUGCCAGCAGCCGCGGUAAUACGGAGGAUGCGAGCGUUAGCCGGAUUUAUUGGGUUAAAAGGGUGCGCAGGCGGUCUGUUAAGUCAGCGGUAAAAGCCCGGGGCUCAACCCCGGCCCGCCGUUGAAACUGGCAGUCUCGAGUUGGAGAGAAGUAUGCGGAAUGCGCGGUGUAGCGGUGAAAUGCAUAGAUAUCGCGCAGAACUCCGAUUGCGAAGGCAGCAUGCCGGCUCCACACUGACGCUGAGGCACGAAAGCGUGGGUAUCGAACAGGAUUAGAUACCCGUGUAGUC
RNAcentral lists this ribosomal RNA (459 nucleotides) under uncultured bacterium. RNAcentral's name for it is "partial 16S ribosomal RNA". It matches the Rfam family "Bacterial small subunit ribosomal RNA", at positions 338 to 795 of the family's 1533-position model. The record is from RNAcentral.